Molecule: ribosomal RNA, 371 nt
Filed under: uncultured eukaryote
Lineage: Eukaryota
Description: partial 18S ribosomal RNA
Rfam family: Eukaryotic small subunit ribosomal RNA
Source: RNAcentral
CAAUAGCAUAUAUUAACGUUGUUGCAGUUGAAAAGCUCGUAGUUGAACUUUUGGUAGGAGCGACCUGGUCUUGGGCUGUAUGGUCCUUGUUUUACCGUGUGUCGUAUCUGGCCAUCCUUCUUUGUUCUUUUAAGGGGCAAGGAUCAUUUACUGUGAGUAAACUGGUGUGCUCAAAACAAGACGUAUUGUUUAGUACAUUUUAGCAUGGAAUAAUAAGAUAGGACCUAGUUACUAUUUUGUUGGUUUGCAUAGCUGGGUAAUGAUGAAUAGGAACAGUCGGAGGUAUUCGUAUUUAAUUGUCAGAGGUGAAAUUCUUGGAUUUCUGAAAGACGAACCACUGCGAAAGCAUUUACCAAGGAUGUUUUCAUUAA